AUUGAACGCUGGCGGCAGGCCUAACACAUGCAAGUCGAGCGGGUGAAGGGAGCUUGCUCCUGGAUUCAGCGGCGGACGGGUGAGUAAUGCCUAGGAAUCUGCCUGGUAGUGGGGGAUAACGUCCGGAAACGGGCGCUAAUACCGCAUACGUCCUGAGGGAGAAAGUGGGGGAUCUUCGGACCUCACGCUAUCAGAUGGGCCUAGGUCGGAUUAGCUAGUUGGUGGGGUAAAGGCCUACCAAGGCGACGAUCCGUAACUGGUCUGAGAGGAUGAUCAGUCACACUGGAACUGAGACACGGUCCAGACUCCUACGGGAGGCAGCAGUGGGGAAUAUUGGACAAUGGGCGAAAGCCUGAUCCAGCCAUGCCGCGUGUGUGAAGAAGGUCUUCGGAUUGUAAAGCACUUUAAGUUGGGAGGAAGGGCAGUAAGUUAAUACCUUGCUGUUUUGACGUUACCAACAGAAUAAGCACCGGCUAACUUCGUG
This 484-nucleotide ribosomal RNA is filed under the name uncultured bacterium. Its description in RNAcentral is "partial 16S ribosomal RNA". It matches the Rfam family "Bacterial small subunit ribosomal RNA", at positions 30 to 507 of the family's 1533-position model. The record is from RNAcentral.